This 254-nucleotide ribosomal RNA is filed under the name uncultured bacterium. RNAcentral describes it as "partial 16S ribosomal RNA". It matches the Rfam family "Bacterial small subunit ribosomal RNA", at positions 524 to 776 of the family's 1533-position model. The record is from RNAcentral.
UACAGAGGGGGCAAGCGUUGUCCGGAUUUAUUGGGCGUAAAGAGCUCGUAGGCGGCUUAGAAAGUCAGGUGUGAAAACUCUGGGCUUAACCCAGAGACGCCACUUGAUACUUCUAUGGCUUGAGUUCGGUAGGGGACCAUGGAAUUCCUGGUGUAGCGGUGAAAUGCGCAGAUAUCGGGAAGAACACCCGUGGCGAAGGCGGCUCUCUGGGACGGUACUGACGCUGAGACGCGAAAGCGUGGGGAGCGAACAGG